Molecule: ribosomal RNA, 650 nt
Filed under: uncultured bacterium
Lineage: Bacteria
Description: bacterial SSU rRNA
Rfam family: Bacterial small subunit ribosomal RNA
Source: RNAcentral
AAAGGGGAAUGGGGGGAAGGGGGUGAGUACGCGUGGAACGUGCCUUUCCUACUAAAUAGCUUUUGGAAACGAAAGGUAAUACCGUAUACGCCCUCCGGGGGAAAGAUUUAUCGGUGAAAGAUCGGUCCGCGUUAGAUUAACUAGUUGGUGAGGUAAAAGCUCACCAAGGCGACGAUCUAUAGCUGGUCUGAGAGGAUGAUCAGCCACACUGGGACUGACACACGGCCCAGACUCCUACGGGAGGCAACAGUGGGGAAUAUUGCACUAUGGGCGCAAGCCUGAUGCAGCCCUGCCGCGUGAAUGAUGAAGGCCUUAGGGUUGUAAAAUUCUUUCGCUAGGGAUGAUAAUGACAGUACCUAUAAAUGAAGCCCCGGCUAACUUCAUGCCAGCAGCCGCGGUAAUACGAAGGGGGCUAGCGUUGUUCGGAAUUACUGGGCGUAAAGCGCACGUAGGCGGACUUUUAACUCAGAUGUGGAAUCCCGAGGCUCAGCCUCGGAACUGCAUUUGAGACUGUGAGUCUAGAAAUCAGGAGAUGUUAGCGGAAUACCGAGAGUACAGGUGAUAUACGUAAAUUUUCGGUGGAUUCCAGUGGCCAACGCUGCUAACUGGACUGAUACUGAAGCUGUAGUGACACUGAGUGGCGAGCAAUC